Molecule: long non-coding RNA, 199 nt
Organism: Seriola dumerili (greater amberjack)
Lineage: Eukaryota; Metazoa; Chordata; Actinopteri; Carangiformes; Carangidae
Exons: 2
Source: RefSeq, a predicted model, not a curated record
ACAGGACUACUUGUUGUGUUUCUUUGCUGAGGUCUAACAGAGGCUGAUCCACUGGCGUGAUUAGCCGUUUCGUCUGAAUACCAUGACCUGCUUCUCUGCCACCAUCACUGUGUAACUGGCUCCACCAGUCUCACUAGCAGUCACCAAUUAGCAACUGGCUGGUCUGACAAACCAUGAUAAAGUCUGUCAACAACCAACA